RNAcentral lists this ribosomal RNA (407 nucleotides) under uncultured bacterium. Its description in RNAcentral is "partial 16S ribosomal RNA". It matches the Rfam family "Bacterial small subunit ribosomal RNA", at positions 30 to 526 of the family's 1533-position model. The record is from RNAcentral.
AUUGAACGCUGGCGGCAGGCCUAAAACAUGCAAGUCGAGCGGAGCGGCGGACGGGUGAGUAAUGCCUAGGAAUCGGCCUGGUCGUGGGGGAUAACGUCCGGAAACGGGCGCUAAUACCGCAUACUAUCAGAUGAGCCUAGGUCGGAUUAGCUAGUUGGUGGGGUAAAGGCCUACCAAGGCGACGAUCCGUAACUGGUCUGAGAGGCUGGUCAGUCACACUGGAACUGCUACCCGGUCCAGACUCCUACGGUAGGCACCAGUGGGGAAUAUUGGACAAUGGGCGAAAGCCUGAUCCAGCCAUGCCGCGUGUAUGAAGAAGGCCUUCGGGUUGUAAAGUUCUUUCGGUGACGAGGCGUUAAUCACAGAAGAAGCACCGGCUAACUCCGUGCCAGCAGCCGCGGUAAUUC